This 396-nucleotide ribosomal RNA is filed under the name uncultured bacterium. RNAcentral's name for it is "partial 16S ribosomal RNA". It matches the Rfam family "Bacterial small subunit ribosomal RNA", at positions 523 to 917 of the family's 1533-position model. The record is from RNAcentral.
ACACGUAGGGGGCGAGCGUUGUCUGGAAUGAUUGGGCGUAAAGGGCGCGUAGGCGGCGCGGUAAGUCUGGAGUGAAAGUCCUGCUUUCAAGGUGGGAAUUGCUUUGGAUACUGUCGGGCUUGAGUGCAGGAGAGGUAAGUGGAAUUCCCAGUGUAGCGGUGAAAUGCGUAGAGAUUGGGAGGAACACCAGUGGCGAAGGCGACUUACUGGACUGUAACUGACGCUGAGGCGCGAAAGUGUGGGGAGCAAACAGGAUUAGAUACCCUGGUAGUCCACACUGUAAACGAUGAAUGCUAGGUGUAGGGGGUAUCGACCCCUUCUGUGCCGCAGUCAACACAAUAAGCAUUCCGCCUGGGGAGUACGGCCGCAAGGUUGAAACUCAAAGGAAUUGACGGG